GAGGACUAAAUAACUCAGGUAUUACAGCAGCUGCAACGACGGAAUUAACUGUUUCGAGUACAAAAGCUUUGCUUUUUUUUUGUCUUCGAGUGAGUUUUAAAAAGAAGAGAGUGUUUGUUUGUAGUUUAAAAAGUGCUCCUGUUUUUUCUUAGAAUUGCACUCUGCAUUUUCAAAAAUGACGUCAGCUGAGGAGCGAGCUCCGAUUGGUUGGCUCGGCUCGGGAUACCCGCUCAAACGCCGGCGAUUGGUUUAAAAGCAUGCUAUAGAGAAGGUCGGCCAUUUAUGAACAGAUGGAUUUAUGUUUUCUCUCCCAAUGAUUGGGGUCAUCUGGAGGCGACAGCUCGCUGAUCCAAGAUCCGCACUGGUGUUCAACUGUCUUGCUGGUGUGAGAAAGCGAAGGGAGACCUGGGAAAGAUGCCAAUGGCUGGAGAGAAAAAAAAAAGUGACAUUCUCUGAAUUAUCCACCGUCCUCGCUCAUUGAUUCAUUUAGCUGAACUCUCUCAAAUCCCUCCCACCGAGGAGGGCAGAUAUUAUCCCCGAUGGAAGGAGAGGACGAAUUUGCGCAAGGAUGGUGGGGGGACGCGGGGAAAAGCGGGCAGAAUAAAGAUGUCGAAAAAUACUCCUCUUUGAGGCGAGAGAACUUGACAACAAAUCGGUUUAGAGUUCGAAUCGCAACCCGGUAUUCAUUGUAGAAAUACGGUGAGAUGGAACAGUAUGGCAGAAGUGCUUGUCUCUCUCGCCGUCUGUCUGCUGCUGCAGGAUAGAAUAAGUACAGUACGAAGGGCUGUGUGAGAGCAGACGUCCCUCUGUCACCCUGUGUACGGACAGACGCACUCACGCCAGUAGGAGGGGAUUGUGGGAAGGGGGUGUAGCUCUCAGAGGGUGUGCUCUACUCCUCUCUUUUCCCUUCUUCCCGCCAUCACGGCCCUCUUCUCCUCCAGUCCUCCGGCCCAGCCCGCCGCUCACGUACAGGCUCCAGGACAGCAGGCUCUGACAGGGUGGUAAACAGUCUUUCUGUGGCUUUCCAUACCGAACAGGUGUCUCUUUGUAGACUGGCAGGAGGAAGGACAGGCCUCUUCGGUUACUUUCUGACCUCAGAAGGGUCGACCGAGCCAGAGAGCCGUUGUUGUGUUCAGGACAGUUACCUUUGUGGAUCUUUGAAGCGGAAGCAACAUGGAUGCUGUCCUUGGGGCUGAGGUAGUAGAUUGAAUAGUUGUGGGGUUGUGUAACCUCUUUUUGAGAUAACUAUACAAUCUACUGUCUUUCCCAAGGAGACAGCCAGGUCAGCCACUCGCCGACUGUCACCUCCAGAUGGGCGAACAUGCCGUCCAAUCAAAACGCACGCUUGCAAGCAGCAAUCAACACAAUGCACUAUGUCGAGCAUUGUUUUUUUGUUUGUUGCUAGAGCAGGUUAAUUAGGUCUACCAGGACGUGAAGGUGUGGUGUGUCUGAUUUGGGUUCUGUCAGGGUGAGGUAGUAGGUUGUAUAGUUUGGUGGACGGGAUUGCACCCUGCUCAGGUGAUAACUAUACAGUCUAUUGCCUUCCUUGAGGAGCUCACUGAACACUCAUCAAUGCUCAACACACUCUCAUGAUGGUAUCACGUUUAUUUGUAGAUUUCAGAAAGAAAGGAGCGAGUAGAUAUGUGCUGCAAAAAGGAAAGGGAUGAAUUGACUGAAAUGACAAAAAAUAUGUACAUCUCAAUAAAGUCAUAUGUGCCUCAAAAACUCA
Long non-coding RNA from Sebastes umbrosus (honeycomb rockfish), 1729 nucleotides. RefSeq lists it as uncharacterized. NCBI's taxonomy places the organism in Eukaryota, Metazoa, Chordata, Actinopteri, Perciformes, Sebastidae. The record is from RefSeq and is a predicted model, not a curated record. The transcript is spliced from 4 exons.